GCUGGGUGUGGUGGUGUAUGUCUGUAAUCCCAGCAGCUCGGGAGGCUGAGGCAGGAGGAUUGCGAGUUCAAAGCCAGCCUCAGCAAAAGCAAGGUGCUCAGCAGCUCAGUGAGACCCUGUCUCUA
Molecule: small RNA, 125 nt
Filed under: Marmota monax (woodchuck)
Lineage: Eukaryota; Metazoa; Chordata; Mammalia; Rodentia; Sciuridae
Source: RNAcentral